UUUAUUUUGUGACAGGGGAGACGGAGCGAGCGAUGGUUUCUUCUUCCUCUCUAACCCUAAGAACGGAAAUUAUUACUUGCUUCGGAAGAAAAACAAAUCAUAUCUUCUCCGUGAAGAUUAGAGAUUCGAAGAACAAGGAUAUGAAGAGAGAUGAAAUCGUGGGUUUUAAAGUAAUGGAUGUAGCAGCACCAUGUCAGCUUGGGUUUUGCUCGGUCUCCUUCUCCGGGUUCCUGAAGCUUGGAUUGUUUCGAAAAAUUGGAGCAGAUUGUGAAGGCAAAAAUGAGGGGUGUUCGGCAAAGGAAUGCGUGAAGGGAACAAAGGAAUGAAGUUGGUUGGAAAAAGGAGCGAAUCUCGCUGAAAUGGCGGCAAUCAGUCUAUCGGUAUCACCAGGCUUAACCAUCUCAACAGAGGCAUGCAAAGAUUACCAUUCAUGGUCAGUGACUACUGAAAAGAAUAAACUAACAGAAGCUGGCGAAACUUGCAAAAGGUGAAAGAGGAGAUGGGAGAACUAUUUAAAGAGAGAAGCUCUCAUGCAUAUGGUUUUUUACUAACAAAGUUCCAUGUAGGCCAGACAAACAUUUCUGCCACUAAAUAUUUCUCAGAAGACUGUCCAUAUUUCUACUUCAGGAAAAACAUUGGCAAAGAUGGACUAAAGGCUCGAAAGGCUCGACAAAAGGUGAUCAAGGCAAGGAUUCUAAAGACCUGGAGUCUGGCAACCGUAUACCAAUGAAGUAUAUGGCAUGGAAUGCACUUGAUGGAUGAAAAGGUUGUUAAAUGGUUUCGCGUAACCCAUUAGCUUAAUUUGUGGGUUUGCCUGAAUAAUCUCAUAGCUCAAACAUGUGACGUGUUACCAAGUAUGAUAUUGUUGAAGUCAUCAGAGUCCAAUGUUUCAAUAACAGUCUAAGGAGUUCCUCGCAAACUCUAAAAGUUGUAUACAAAAGCAGAUGCUGCUCCUCAGCUUAGCUUGAUAUGACUAUAACAGCGCAUCUCCCUUUUGACUUAAUAAAUCAUUCGAAGAACCCAAUGGGAGUACUUUGAGAGGCUGACAUUGCAGCUAAGAAAUGCAUCUGGAGUUUAUGGAGAAUCUCGUCACAAAUAUAAACAGAACUACAAGCCAGGUAAAUACCAUUGAAGAAGCUUCAAGUUAAGAAGAGGAUGGCAUCAGAUUUGGGGCUUAGCAGAAUAUAUGAGUCAGGCAAGAAGAUGUAGGCACGUUAACAAACAUGGUUAAAAGGUUUUCAAGCUCAUGAUGGAAUGGCCUCUGAUAGUCGUCAACAAAACCUUUUACUCUUUGGAAGAACCAAAUCAAGAUUCCCAGACUCCGACAAGGACUAUCAGACGGAUCAAGACAUUGACGCUAGCAAUAGACCAAGCGUCCAUGAAACUACACGUACAUGGGCCUAUUCUAGAUUUGGUCACUAGACAAAUAAUACAGUAUCAGGCGGCUCAAACGCCACCUUUCAGAUUUCCUUUUUCAUAUGAUAUAUAUUUCCAGAAAAAUCAUACUAAUAAAUAGUAUUCUUAAAUAUCUAAAGAUUAAGAAAUGUAUAGUUAUGUUUUACU
Molecule: long non-coding RNA, 1563 nt
Organism: Papaver somniferum (opium poppy)
Lineage: Eukaryota; Viridiplantae; Streptophyta; Magnoliopsida; Ranunculales; Papaveraceae
Exons: 9
Source: RefSeq, a predicted model, not a curated record